AGUCAACGUUGGCGGCGUGCGUAACACAUGCAAGUCGAACGAUCCUCAUUUGGCUUGCCAUUUGAGGAGAGUGGCGAACGGGUGAGUAACACGUGAGUAAUCAACCCUCGAGUCGGGGGACAACCUCGCGAAAGCGAGGCUAAUACCGCAUAAUACUCUGGAGUAUAAGCUUUCAGAGUCAAAGCCUUCGGGUGCUUGAGGACGAGCUCGCGCCCUAUUAGCUUGUUGGUGGGGUAACGGCCUACCAAGGUUAUGAUGGGUAGCCGGCCUGAGAGGGUGUACGGCCACACUGGAACUGCGACACGGUCCAGACUCCUACGGGAGGCAGCAGUGGGGAAUUUUGCGCAAUGGGCGAAAGCCUGACGCAGCGACGCCGCGUGGAGGAUUAAGGCCUUCGGGUUGUAAACUCCUGUCAGAGGUGAAGAAUGCCCUUCGGGGUUUGACGGUAACCUCAGAGGAAGCCCCGGCUAACUACGUG
This 478-nucleotide ribosomal RNA is filed under the name uncultured bacterium. RNAcentral's name for it is "bacterial SSU rRNA". It matches the Rfam family "Bacterial small subunit ribosomal RNA", at positions 32 to 507 of the family's 1533-position model. The record is from RNAcentral.